Molecule: ribosomal RNA, 468 nt
Filed under: uncultured bacterium
Lineage: Bacteria
Description: partial 16S ribosomal RNA
Rfam family: Bacterial small subunit ribosomal RNA
Source: RNAcentral
GAUGAACGCUGGCGGCGUGCUUAACACAUGCCAGUCGAGCGGAAAGGCCCUGCGAAGGUGGGGGGCUCGAGUGGCGAACGGGUGAGUAACACGUGAGUAACCUGCCCUUGACUUUGGGAUAACUUCAUAAAACUGGGGCAAAUACCGUAAAGGAGCUCCUGAUGCAUGGAGGGGGUUGGAAAGUUGGGGCGGUUGGGGAUGGACUCGCGGCUUAUCAGCUUGUUGAUGGGGUAGUGGCUUACCAAGGCUUUGACGGGAAGGCGGCCUGAGAGGGGUACCGGCCACAUUGGGACUGAGAUACGGCCCAGACUCCUACGGGAGGCAGCGGUGGGGAAUAUUGCACUAUGGGCGGAAGCCUGAUGCAGCAACGCCGCGUGCGGGAUGACGGCCUUCGGUUUGUAAAGCACAUUCGCGUGCGCCGAGGCGUUAGUGACGGUACUUGGUAAAGAAGCACCGGCUAACUACGUG